UCCCAUGUGGCUCAGCUGGUAGAGCAUUGCAACGAUAGGGUUGUGGGUUCAAUUCCCACGUGGGAC
This 66-nucleotide transfer RNA is filed under the name Salmo salar (Atlantic salmon). It matches the Rfam family "tRNA". Rfam says of the family: Transfer RNA (tRNA) molecules are approximately 80 nucleotides in length. The record is from Rfam by way of RNAcentral. Lineage: Eukaryota; Metazoa; Chordata; Actinopteri; Salmoniformes; Salmonidae.